GACGAACGCUGGCGGCGUGCUUAACACAUGCAAGUCGAACGAAGAGCGAUGGAAGCUUGCUUCUAUCAAUCUUAGUGGCGAACGGGUGAGUAACGCGUAAUCAACCUGCCCUUCAGAGGGGGACAACAGUUGGAAACGACUGCUAAUACCGCAUACGAUCUAAUCUCGGCAUCGAGGAUAGAUGAAAGGUGGCCUCUACAUGUAAGCUAUCACUGAAGGAGGGGAUUGCGUCUGAUUAGCUAGUUGGAGGGGUAACGGCCCACCAAGGCGAUGAUCAGUAGCCGGUCUGAGAGGAUGAACAGCCACAUUGGGACUGAGACACGGCCCAGACUCCUACGGGAGGCAGCAGUGGGGAAUCUUCCGCAAUGGACGAAAGUCUGACGGAGCAACGCCGCGUGAGUGAUGACGGCCUUCGGGUUGUAAAGCUCUGUUAAUCGGGACGAAAGGCCUUCUUGCGAAUAGUGAGAAGGAUUG
RNAcentral lists this ribosomal RNA (474 nucleotides) under Veillonella parvula. RNAcentral describes it as "bacterial SSU rRNA". It matches the Rfam family "Bacterial small subunit ribosomal RNA", at positions 28 to 471 of the family's 1533-position model. Lineage: Bacteria; Bacillati; Bacillota; Negativicutes; Veillonellales; Veillonellaceae. The record is from RNAcentral.